Molecule: microRNA precursor, 62 nt
Filed under: Chrysemys picta bellii (western painted turtle)
Lineage: Eukaryota; Metazoa; Chordata; Testudines; Emydidae
Description: Cpi-Mir-92-P1c_pre stem-loop
Rfam family: mir-92 microRNA precursor family
About the family: This family represents the microRNA precursor mir-92. Human miR-92 has two predicted hairpin precursor sequences: mir-92-1 on chromosome 13 and mir-92-2 on chromosome X. miR-92 has also been cloned from mouse embryonic stem cells. The mature sequence is excised from the 3' arm of the hairpin.
Source: RNAcentral
GGGUGGGGAUUUGUUGCAUUACUUGUAGCUAUGUGUAGAGUAUUGCACUUGUCCCGGCCUGU